RNAcentral lists this long non-coding RNA (478 nucleotides) under Rattus norvegicus (Norway rat). RNAcentral describes it as "long non-coding RNA NONRATT011704". The record is from RNAcentral. Lineage: Eukaryota; Metazoa; Chordata; Mammalia; Rodentia; Muridae.
AACCCCUGAGCCAUCCCUCCAGCCCCCAAGAACAAUGAUUAUUUGUGUUCAAUAACAGUUCAGAUAAUGUAUUAUUUGAAAGGUUUCUGAAACCUCUGACCAACAGGUCACAGGGAGGUAUCCUACAUAGAACAGCUUUUGAAACAACGUCGUCUACUCUGAGACUUUAAUUACUGAGUGAAGAAAAGAAAAAGUCAUUGCCAACAAGCGAAUUGUUAAGAAGGAUGUUGCAGCUUUUACCUCUCCGUCCAGCAGAGCCCAGUUUACCGUGUGCCUGUAGAGCUUCCUUGACCAUAAAGGUCAUACUCCUUGUAAAGGACGUAAGCUUUUAAGAGAUUGGGCAGCGGAAGAAACGACAUGAAGACCGGGCAGCGCAGGCGUAACCGUCCCAUGCACUUCCGGAUCUUGAGGCGGCAUAAGUGUUGUAGAGAACGGGGGUUUGCUAAAAAAAAAAAAAAAAAAAAAAAAAAAAGAUAGC